AUUAAUUUAUUAUAUAUAAUUUUAAGAGCAUUAUAUGUAAUAGAUUAUUCAUUUUAAUCAUAUUACGCGGGAAUAUGGUUAAUUAAUUUAUCACUUCUAUAUGAGUAGGAGGAUUAAAAUCCUCAUGAACAAGUAUAAUAUCGAUUUUAUCGAAUAAAGUUCUAGAUAGAAUACUGAUUAUGACUAUUUUCUGUCUAUAUGUCUUGACCAAAAUACGUGCCAGCAGUCGCGGCAAUACGUAGAAGACUAGUGUUAUUCAUCUUUAUUAGGUUUAAAGGGUACCUAGACUGUAUAAUUAGUCUAAAUCAGAUACGGUUAUACUAGAGUUAUAUAUGAGAAGGUGAGUAUUUAUGGAGUAGAGUUGAAAUUUGUUUAUACCAUGAGGACUGGUAACGGCGAAAGCAACCUUUUAUCUAAUAACUGACGUUGAGGGACGAAGGCUUGGGGAACAAAAAGGAUUAGAUACCCUAGUAGUCCAAGCAGAGAAUUAUGAAUGCCAUAGACUAGGUUUUUUUUUAGUUUAUAAAUGAAAGUGUAAGCAUUUCACCUCAAGAGUAAUGUGGCAACGCAGGAACUGAAAUCAUUAGACCGUUUCUGAAACCAGUAGUGAAGUAUGUUAUUUAAUUCGUAGGUACGCGAAAAACCUUACCACAACUUGAAUAUUAUUUUAUAUAUUAUUUAUAAUAUUCUUAUGGAAUAUUGCUAAAAUAAUAAGUAAUAUAGUAAAAUAUUACAAGCGUUGCACGGCUGUCUUCAGUUAAUGUCGUGAGAUAUUGGUUAAUUCCAUUAAAUUAACGGAAACCCUUGCUUUAUUUAUAUUUUAUACUAAUAAAUGCUGCACACCAGUAUAUCGCGCAUCAUGUUAAU
This 867-nucleotide ribosomal RNA is filed under the name Brunnipila fuscescens. RNAcentral describes it as "SSU rRNA". It matches the Rfam family "Bacterial small subunit ribosomal RNA", at positions 1 to 1141 of the family's 1533-position model. The record is from RNAcentral. Lineage: Eukaryota; Fungi; Ascomycota; Leotiomycetes; Helotiales; Lachnaceae.